CUUCUCAUUCGUCCCACUGGUCUAUAUCAGGAGCAGGCAACCUUUGGCACUGCAGAUGGUGUAGAGAAAACGUAGUCCGCAACAUCUGGAGUACCAAAUACUGCCUACCCCUGCUUAUGGAAGACAUGUUAUAUAUAUACCCUAGCCAAACUACUGCCUCGUCCCCUAACUUUUUUACACAGUUAGAAGCAGUAUGCUGGUUAGCUACUACAUCAAAAGGGUAAUU
Molecule: non-coding RNA, 226 nt
Organism: Pelobates cultripes (western spadefoot toad)
Lineage: Eukaryota; Metazoa; Chordata; Amphibia; Anura; Pelobatidae
Source: the annotation of a GenBank genome assembly